RNAcentral lists this ribosomal RNA (497 nucleotides) under uncultured bacterium. RNAcentral's name for it is "partial 16S ribosomal RNA". It matches the Rfam family "Bacterial small subunit ribosomal RNA", at positions 28 to 507 of the family's 1533-position model. The record is from RNAcentral.
GAUGAACGCUGGCGGCGUGCCUAAUACAUGCAAGUCGAGCGAACAGAUGAGGAGCUUGCUCCUCUGACGUUAGCGGCGGACGGGUGAGUAACACGUGGAUAACCUACCUAUAAGACUGGGAUAACUUCGGGAAACCGGAGCUAAUACCGGAUAAUAUAUUGAACCGCAUGGUUCAAUAGUGAAAGACGGUUUUGCUGUCACUUAUAGAUGGAUCCGCGCCGCAUUAGCUAGUUGGUAAGGUAACGGCUUACCAAGGCAACUAUGCGUAGCCGACCUGAGAGGGUGAUCGGCCACACUGGAACUGAGACACGGUCCAGACUCCUACGGGAGGCAGCAGUAGGGAAUCUUCCGCAAAGGGCGAAAGCCUGACGGAGCAACGCCGCGUGAGUGAUGAAGGUCUUCGGAUCGUAAAACUCUGUUAUUAGGGAAGAACAAAUGUGUAAGUAACUAUGCACGUCUUGACGGUACCUAAUCAGAAAGCCACGGCUAACUACGUG